UGUGUAGGCGGGCAAUUAAGUCAGUGGUGAAAUCUUUCCGCUUAACGGAAAAACUGCCAUUGAUACUAUUUGUCUUGAAUUCUGUUGAGGAGGGCGGAAUAUGUCAUGUAGCGGUGAAAUGCAUAGAUAUGACAUAGAACACCGAUAGCGAAGGCAGCUCUCUAAGCAGAUAUUGACGCUGAGGCACGAAAGCGUGGGGAUCAAACAGGAUUAGAUACCCUGGUAGUCCACGCCCUAAACGAUGAUUACUCGACAUACGCGAUACACAGUGUGUGUCUGAGCGAAAGCAUUAAGUAAUCCACCUGGGAAGUACGACCGCAAGGUUGAA
This 328-nucleotide ribosomal RNA is filed under the name uncultured bacterium. RNAcentral describes it as "bacterial SSU rRNA". It matches the Rfam family "Bacterial small subunit ribosomal RNA", at positions 568 to 898 of the family's 1533-position model. The record is from RNAcentral.